CCUACGAGAUGCUGCAGUGGGGAAUAUUGGGCAAUGGAGGCAACUCUGACCCAGCAACGCCGCGUGAAUGAUGAAGGUCUUCGGAUUGUAACGUUCUUUUCUAAGGGAAGAAGAAAGUGACGGUACCUUAGGAAUAAGCCUCGGCUAACUACGUGCCAGCAGCCGCGGUCAUACGUAGGAGGCACGCGUUAUCCGGAAGGACUGGGCGUAAAGGGUGCGUAGGUGGUUCAGCAAGUUAGUAGCGUAACUCCCGGGCUCAACCUCGGCCCUACUACUAAAACUGUUGGACUGGAGUGCAGGAGGGGCAACUGGAAUUCCUAGUGUAGCGGUGGAAUGCGUAGAUAUGAGGAGGAACACCAGUGGCGAAGGCGAGUUGCUGGACUGUAACUGACACGGAGGCACGAAGGCGUGGGGAGCAAACAGGAUUAGAUACCCGUGUAGUC
Molecule: ribosomal RNA, 443 nt
Filed under: uncultured bacterium
Lineage: Bacteria
Description: partial 16S ribosomal RNA
Rfam family: Bacterial small subunit ribosomal RNA
Source: RNAcentral